This 64-nucleotide transfer RNA is filed under the name Dipodomys ordii (Ord's kangaroo rat). It matches the Rfam family "tRNA". Rfam says of the family: Transfer RNA (tRNA) molecules are approximately 80 nucleotides in length. Their secondary structure includes four short double-helical elements and three loops (D, anti-codon, and T loops). Lineage: Eukaryota; Metazoa; Chordata; Mammalia; Rodentia; Heteromyidae. The record is from Rfam by way of RNAcentral.
GGUGGCUCAGUGGUAGAGUGCUUGCCUUGAAGCAUGAGGUCCUGGGUUCGAUUCCUCAGCACCA